Molecule: long non-coding RNA, 232 nt
Filed under: Lathyrus oleraceus (garden pea)
Lineage: Eukaryota; Viridiplantae; Streptophyta; Magnoliopsida; Fabales; Fabaceae
Description: Pisum sativum (pea) long non-coding RNA (PSAT_LNC038284)
Source: RNAcentral
GGAAAAGAAUAGAUAAAGUGCUCGGUGAGGAUUAGGGCUAUCAUUCCUACGUAUCCUCAUAAUGCAAUGAGGAAUUCAGAGCUCCGUAGUUCAAAGAACCAGUGGUGGGAGGUGAAAGGAAUUGUGAUAACAUUAUGGUCUGAACCAAAAAAUAGUGUUUUUUGAACUCCAAAAAGGGAGAAAACGUGAAUCCAAGAGUAAAACUGGUAUAAACCAACAAGUGAGGGGCCCG